AGAGAUUGGCGAAAGCCUAACACUACCCACACACACCUGUGAACCGUUUAUCUGGGACGCGGAUUAGCUUCGGCGAAACCGUCCCUCUUUACAAAACAUCUCGUACAGUGUCACGAACGUAGUCUUAUUUUAACAAAAUA
RNAcentral lists this unclassified non-coding RNA (140 nucleotides) under uncultured Cryptococcus. RNAcentral describes it as "sequence contains ITS1". Lineage: Eukaryota; Fungi; Basidiomycota; Tremellomycetes. The record is from RNAcentral.